UCGGGUAGCAGUUGGGGUUAGGGGGUGUGGGAGCAGCGGCCGCGGCCGAGGCCGCUUUUGGGAUCGCUGGGUACCUCUUAGCCAGAAUGAUGCCGCCGUAGCCGUCGCCGUCGCCGUCGUUCUUGGGCGGCGGCAGACCCUUCCUCCGCCCCCUACUCCUCAUGCCCCCUCCCAUGCUGGCCGACCUGCUCCUCCACCUCAAGGCCGACGGCUCCCCCGUGGCCGGCCACCUCUUGGACCUGUGCCUCCCCGACCUCGUCCGGAGGCAGCUGUGCGUCGAGCGGAGGAGGUUGCAGCCGAAGUCCGACGACGUCUUCUACCCUACCUUCAGGCCGUUCCCGGAGCCGUUCUUGCUCGUUCCAUAUGAUCUCGGGUAUUUUCGGCCAUAGUCCCUACGUUUUAAUCCUCACCCCUUCGUUCUCGUCCUACUGAAGAAGUGUCGACUCCUGUUACAUGUUUCUUUCUCUAAUUUACAACUUGAACUCCUCUGACUUCUCGUAUAAUUCUUCGCACUCCAGUGUCGUCUUGCACUCGUCUUUUAGGCGUCACUCCAAUUCCUCUAUGUCUUCUGUAAGAAAACGUCGGAGACGUUAUUCGUUAUGUUCGACCGUAUACUUAAACUCUCAGUAGAUUCGAGUAUACUGGUAUUAGUAUCCUUCUCCAAGUUCCUUUACUUUCUCUACGUUUCGUCGUUGUCACCGUUGGCACUACUAUCCGUCUUUGCACUCGUCGUCGCUCUUCUCUUCCUCGACCGUUUUAAACGGGUUGACCGUCUACGAGUAUCUUUCGUCGUCUUUCUCUUCGUUCUUGUCGGUCUAUAGAGUCCUCUCGUUCGAUGCGGUUUCUUGAACGACUGGGGCCCGUUAGUCCUAGUCGCAGCUUGUAACUUCAAACCGAAGAGGUUUUACUGGGGAAGGUUCCGUGGACAACCGUUGUACUCGUUCUUCGGUUUCUAACGGUGCUUUCAGGGAAGGCAGAAGCCUUUGCUGUCGCUACUCCUCCGUACUGGAAGGAAACGGGAGUGUACUAUGGAGUGUUUCCUCCCCUUACGGCCGGAACAGUCGUCUAAGGUCAUUCAGUAGGGACUCUUCUACGGCACGUACAUUACACGACGACCAAACCCGUCUACACCUAUCGCCGUAGAACCGGUUGGGGUACUUGUUCGUCCCUGAACCUGGCAACACCACAGUUAACAUAACUUGACUACCAUGUAACAUUCUCGUUGAGACAGACAUGAAGGUAUAGUCUCACCAACAUUGACCGAACUCGGUACCGUCCGACCGUUGAUCUUCUUGUACCGGGGGGAAACAACCCCGUGUGGAAAACAUAGUUAUAACAACCUAAGAACACUCUAAGGAGCCGCCAGCCACCCACCACUUCACAUAAAGAAAGAG
Molecule: ribosomal RNA, 1394 nt
Filed under: Triticum aestivum (bread wheat)
Lineage: Eukaryota; Viridiplantae; Streptophyta; Magnoliopsida; Poales; Poaceae
Description: partial small subunit ribosomal RNA
Source: RNAcentral